GGGGAAUUUUCCGCAAUGGGUGAAAGCCUGACGGAGCAAUACCGCGUGAGGGAGGAAUGCCUUUGGGUUGUAAACCUCUUUUCUCAGGGAAGAAGAUCUGACGGUACCUGAGGAAUAAGUAUCGGCUAACUCCGUGCCAGCAGCCGCGGUAAUACGGAGGAUGCAAGCGUUAUCCGGAAUCAUUGGGCGUAAAGCGUCCGCAGGUGGUUUCCAAAGUCUGCUGUUAAAGACUGGAGCUCAACUCCGGAACGGCGGUGGAAACUUGGAAACUAGAGUUCGGUAGGGGUAGCAGGAAUUCCCAGUGUAGCGGUGAAAUGCGUAGAUAUUGGGAAGAACAUCGGUGGCGAAGGCGUGCUACUGGACCGUAACUGACACUCAGGGACGAAAGCUAGGGGAGCGAAAGGGAUUAGAUACCCCUGUAGUCCUAGCUGUAAACGAUGGAAACUAGGUGUGGCUUG
RNAcentral lists this ribosomal RNA (458 nucleotides) under uncultured marine microorganism. Its description in RNAcentral is "bacterial SSU rRNA". It matches the Rfam family "Bacterial small subunit ribosomal RNA", at positions 356 to 829 of the family's 1533-position model. The record is from RNAcentral.